Molecule: long non-coding RNA, 10165 nt
Organism: Brassica rapa (field mustard)
Lineage: Eukaryota; Viridiplantae; Streptophyta; Magnoliopsida; Brassicales; Brassicaceae
Source: RefSeq, a predicted model, not a curated record
AACGUUUUCCAUUUAUUUUUGAGAUAAUUUUAUAAUAUUAGUUUGUAUAAGUUAAAUAAUGAAUUAUAUAAUUUAUUUAUUAGAUAUUAAAACUUUAAUUUGUCAAAUUAAAAUUAAAAUUGUUUAAUGAUUAAGCCUAAAAUCAUAGAGAAAAUGACAAAUAAGCAAUUUCACUUCUCAAAUAGUAAUAUAUAUAUUAGUAUCAGUUACGUAAUAUUAAGAAUGAUUAAUAAUAAAUUAUUAAUCCAUAUAGUUAUUUAUUCAGUAAUUAAUUAAUUAGUUAAUUAAUUAUUUUUUAUUAAUUAAUCUUUGAGAAAUACCCUAGGAUAGCACUAAAAAGUUUCUAUCGCAAAUAUAGACUCUAAGAAUUAAAAUGACCAAAAUGUUUCUUUAAAGUGGUAAAUAUACACUUAUACCCCUAGGGUUAACUAAUCCAAAUCUUAGGAUUUAGAGUUAAGGGGUGGAAAUUUGGGUUUGAGGUUUAAAAUUUUAUAAAAUUGAAAAUAAAUAUUAAAAAAUUUAAAAUAAAAAUUUUAAAAAUAGUUUCAAAAAUUAUUUUCGAAUUACAAAAAGAAAAUUUGAAAAGAAAAAUAAAAAUAAAAAAAAGUUUAAAAAAAAAUCAAAAGAAAAAUUUAUAAAAAAAUUCAAAUUUGAAAACAUAUAAUCUAAAACUAUAUAAAAAAAAAAAUUUAUAUCUAGGGUAUUAGUGUCCUUUAACCUAUUAAAUGAAAUAUUUUGGUCAUUUUCAUCUUUUUGUCUAUUUUUGUGACAAAAUUUAAAAAUAAUCUAUUUAUGAGAAUUGUCCUUAAUCUUUUAUAGCAUAAAUCUUUUUAAAUAUUUAUUAUUAAGACUUCCAUAACAGAAAUAAAUUUCAAAAUAUUUUUGAGAAAAUUUGUAUUAUACCAUCACGAUAAAAAAACUAAAUUGUCAUUUACAAAAAUGAAAACAAAAUCAGAAAGAAAAAUCAAUCAACAUAAUAUCAAUCAUCGUUCUUGUUCUUCAUUCAUCUAGUUAUAUCUCUUCCACUUGAAAAAUAAGGAUUGUAAAAUCCAAGUAGAUAUCCUUUGAAUAUCAUCACACUUGAAUACAUUUCCAACCUACAAAAAGUAAAAGGAAAUCAAAAAGAUUAAUAAAUCUCAUAUAAACUAUUGACAAAUUUUAUUUGAUCAUAAGUAUAAAUAUAAUGGGAUUUUGAAGUACCUUUAUUUCUGUUUGUAGAAAACAUAGUCUUUCGAAUGAUUAGUAUGUGCACUUCUCUAUAAUCUUACGGUCACGAGAUGAAAACCAUUCCAAAUAAAACAGAGAAGUUAUGAAACAAUCGAAAACAAACAUGAUAUAAUCUGAGAGAAGAUUUUAGAAGAGGAGUCAGAGAGAUCAUCAUAAGAUGUCAAAACACACACUUUAAAAUUGUGUGAAACGUUUUUCGAAGGGGGAGGAGUAAAAGAAGAUGAUUGUGGCGUGGUAAAUGGAUAGUGGGUGAUUUAGAAAAUAUAUUACUAGUUUCAUUCAAAAUCGGGAAGCAAUCCCUGAUUUUUUUUUUAAUGGUAUUUAAUGGUAUUUAAUUGUUUUUUAUAUCAAAACAAUAACUUUGAAAUUAACUGCUAGUACCAAAUUAUGGCAAAAAUAAGGCAUAUUAAUUAACAUAUCAAUUUAUUCAAGCUACGUUUUAAAAUGUAUGUAUAUAUAUUAACUACUAAAUACUCCUCCGUUUCUAAAAGAUUCAUAUUUUAGGAUUUUCACACUUAUUAAAAAAAUAUUUCAAAUAUUAGUUACCAAUACAUUAUUUUCCGCGAUCAACUAUUACCCGCAAAUUUUCACCAAUAGAAUUUUUUAAUAAAUACAAUUAUGUUUUUUGAAGUUUACAAUUUACAUUUAAUUUAUGCAUUAAAAGUAUGAAAAAUAUAUCUAUUUGAAACAAAUUUUUUUUCUAAAACAUGGAUAUUAUAAAGUAAUGCAAUUUUAUAAGAUCUCCAUUGGAUAUCUGUUUUAGUGAUGUAAGUUAAGAUUUUUUUAUAUUGAAUACUUUGAAUUCAAAUUUGUAUUUUUUCACUCUUAACAUUUGAAAUGAAAUAAAAUUUAUUUUGAUGUAACCAACGCAAAUUGCACAUAAAAAAUUUUAAUUGAAUUAUAUUAGUAUCAUUUUAUUAUUGAUGUAAAAUUUGUUUCAUUUAUUUAAAUGAUUUUAAGUUUUGCAUCAUUUCUCUAAGUGAUAUUAACACAAGUUUAUAUAUAUAUAUAUAUCAGUUAUUUAAACGAUGUAAACUUAUAUUUUCUAUCUUUUUUUUUUUACGACCAAAUAUUAGUUACCAAUACAUUAUUUUCCGCGAUCAACUAUUACCCGCAAAUUUUCACCAAUUUAUAUUUUCUAUCAAUUGUUUCAAAAUGAUGCUAACAAACAUGUGUUUGUAUCAGUUUCAAUGAAACGAUGCUAAAUAAUUAAUAGAAACAUCAUUUACUAUAACGAAUGUUGAAAUGAAUAUUUUUUUAUCAUUUACUAAUAAACGAUUUAAAUUAAUAUCAUUUACUUUUCUGAUACCAAUUAUGUGAUGCAAUACAUGUUUUUUCUGUAGUGUGUGUUUGUGUAUAUCAGUGUUUUAUUAAUUGUUUAUAUUUUUAAUAAUUUUUUGAUUCAUAAAACUAUUUAUUUCAUUAAUUUUCAGAAAGAAUAAGGGUAAAAGGAAGACAAAAUGGACAAAAUUUGUUUUAUACCAAAAGGAUAAUCAUACUAAAUUUUUGUUACGUUUUGGAAAUUAUUCUAAAAUAAUUUAAUUGCGCUUAAAAAUAAGAUAUAAAAAAGAAUAAAAUAUCUUGGUUGAUCCCGUCUAUCAGCGUGUUCCUUUUACUUCUUUUUUUUAAUGACGAGAUAUCUUUCCUUAUUUUGAUUGUUUCCUUUUAAUGCAACUUUCCUAAACCGAAAAGGAAAUCAGGAAGGUCUUUCUAUAUAAACACACCUUAGUGAAAAUAAAUCAAUACGUUACGUACUUUCUUUUUUGUCUCCAUCACCAUUUUUUUGGUAAACCACAAUGUCAACAGUAACAAACGGUGAAGAAACGAUGUGGUGUGGUCACUGCGGCGUUAACACACCAACUCGCCAUGAAGGAAAAGCUGGUUCCGUCAAGUCUUGCAAUUGGUGUGGGAAAGUGUUGGCAGAUGAGACUGGAACCGCUGAAGAAUAUACUAAACUCUUCCUUAAACAUCAUCAGGUGUUACAAGACUCAGUUAUGGUUUCUGGCAAAAGAAGUCGACGUAUCAAAAAACAUUAAACUGAGUUUGUUAUUAUUUUAAGUUAGGACAAAUGUGUCUGCUUAAUAUAGACUAGUGGUAUUCCGGCACUACGCGCCGGUUCUUAUAUUUUAUUUUUAUCAAAAAAAAUAUUUUUCUGAAUUACAGUUUGACUGUUUAGAGUAAAUUCAGAAUUUACUAUAUGAAAAUGACAAAUUACCUUUUAGAUUUCUCAUAUAUAAUUAACUAACUAAAAUGAUGAUGGCUUUUUAUAUCAAUUAUUGAACAUGAUAAUGACAUAUAUUCAUUUCUAAAUUGUUGAAAAAUAUCUAUCUAUAUAUAUAUAUAAAGAUGUUGGUGGCUCUCCUGGGAUGCCACGUGGAAGGUCGAGCUCCUACAGAUUGACACGCGUCCACUUAAAUGAAACUCUGUGUUUCAUUAAGUCGUAUCUGCUCAUUUGUGAUUUGGGCUUUUUGUCUAUGUAAAGGUCCAUAACCUGAAUAAGGUAAACCUAAGCAACUCGCCAUCGUUUCCUUCUUUGUUGUUGUACGGCGACUUCUCAUCUUCAUCAUCUCUACCACUGAAACGCUCUCGAUUAUUUCUUCUUCGUGUUUAAUCUCAAUUAAUUCUUCAACCACGAUGUAGCCUUGAAUGCUUGCUUCGCUUUUCGGAGUCGGAGUCGGUGUAUCUGCAGAGUAUAAAUAGGUCAUGUUAGGAUUUAAACCUUUGCCUAGUGCUUUAAACUUAGAUUGAAAUCAAUAUCAAAAGCUCUUUUUCUUUAUUCACUAUUAAUGAAUAACCUUACAAGAACAAAAUAGAAAUCACAAGUUUCUCUUAAGAACCAAAACCCUAACUAUUGAUUCUCUUGAUCUCUCUCUAUUUGCCUCACUCUUGUAUCUUUGUUUCGGAUGCCCUAACAAGCCUAGAUCACCUCUCUAUUUAUAACAUCAUCAGCCUCUUAACUUUCCUAUUCCUUGUUGUCUUGGUUCGUCUUUGACCGACAUAACAAAACAAGAAACUAACUUCACGUUUCCUUUUUGUUUAUGCAGGAUUCUUGCUGGGCUGGAGUGGGCCAAGACAGAAUUGGGCUUUUCUCUCUACAGGUCAGUAUUCUUCCUCUUACAAUCAUCUUAUCAGUAUGUUUAAACAGCAUAACUUUAGAAUUUCCAAUAGGAUUCGAUAUGUAUUUCUUUCUAAGUAUAAUAGCUAACCAGUUUGUUCUACUUACUGAUUUGAAGUCCCGACGUUGUUCUUCCACUUCCUUGCGGCUGCUCAGAUCGGUGAAGCCAGAAACGGGAGUUGAAAUGAUCAUCCUUGAUGCUGAGGUAUUCCGUUCUUGAACCUCAUGAACUCCUAAAUUUUAAACAAUUUCUUGCUUUUAAACUCAUAAAAAUCCAAAACUCAGUAUUAAGAUCCUUAUUCAAACUCUUUUGAAUGAUAAAUCUUGGACCCAUUUAAUGAUUAUGUUUUCUUUAUACAUGUGUUGCGGUCAAUACUCAUGCCAGUCAAUCGUGAAUGUCAAUUGUCUUGCUCCACCGGCAUGAAGAAGGACAAAUGGUGUUGUUACGUCUCUUGCUCCAGGUGGACCAAGGAGCUUCAAGGACUGGCUCAGCCUUUACUUUCGUGACCUGCAACAACGCUAAUGUUGUUGGUGUCCUCCGGUACGUAGGACCCUAAACACUUUGUUUUCUUAGCUUUAGAUACCUUUUAAAUGAGUUAAUUUGGUUAAUUAUAUUAUGUUUUUGAUGUAAUGAAUGGUUUAAUGUUUUAAAAAUUAUAGAUUGUGAAAGUUACUCACAUUAAUGUGUAUAAGGUGAAGAUUUAUUGACUAAGAAAUGGUAGCUUCAGAGAAAGUUAGAUGUGAUUAUUUGGAAACAUAAAGUGUUAAGUUCAUGGCGAGAGAGAAUCUUAUGCUGCAUGGGCUAAAUCAUCAUAAAGUUAUUAAGUCUCUACAUCGUUUUUAGUCUAUGGAGCAUCAUCUCCCUGGCCUUCCUGCAACUGAAGGUAUUAAAUUUAAUCUUUUUCAAGUUUGUAUUGUGUUUUGCGUUUCAAUUCUUGCUGGUGAGCGAUGUAUAUAUUGUUUUAUAUAAGAUCAUGAGAUAAUUAAUUACAUAAAAUUUUAAUGUUCAAGUCUUCAUCUGCAGUGUAAUUAUGCUUCCACAUAUAAGUGGUAAUUGUGAUUUCCAACGAUGUGAUUUUUAUUUUCUGAUUUUUCCCUUUGGUCUUUCUUUUUAUUGAUUCCCUUUGAUCUGGCAAUGAUGACGAUGAUAUGCCUGGAAUGAACUCAUUCUCUGCCAAGGUGGACGUUGGCGGUAGUACUCUUGAGGGAGCACCGACUACAUGAGCAGAUCCAAGUGAUCUCGACACUAAGAAGCCUCCGGCUUGAAGAUAGCAGAGAAAGCAUGCAUGGUACAAUGGCACAAGUGAAGAUAACGAGGGCUCUGAACGCCGUAUUUCCUGUUUGAAUAAUGCUAGCAUAUCAAUGUUGCUUAACGAUUUUUUUUCCUUUCGUUUCAUCCCUUUGGAUUUGCUAUGUUUGGUUCAGACGAUGUUUAAAAAUAUUUCUAAGUUUAAAUAAAUUGAUGUAUUUGUGACAUGUUUAAUCAUUACGGUUCCAUUAAAAAUAAAAACAUGAGCUUCAUACUUCGCCAAAUAUAGUCAGGGAUAAUUUGUUGCAUUAAUGUAUAAUUAUAUUUAUAACAUUCAAACAAUAUCAACAAUAUUUUACAAGCAAGAAUCUGGGCAGCACAAACAUAACAAGAAUCAACAGAACUAUAACUCUGAAUAUUUGGCACUUCAAAUCUUUUCCUCACUAGGAAGGUUACUUUGCAACUUAAAAAGAGAAUUCUUCCCUUCACUAAUUCAGAAUCAUUAUAAUUUUACCUUCACUACCUCUAAUAUCCCAUUUUAUAAAUCUGUAUAUAUAAAGUUGGGUUUGAUACUCUCCUAGGCUGUCCACGUAGGCGGACACGUCACUAAUUCGAGUCUUGAGAAGCCGACACAUGUCUGCGCCCAAAACGCGGCGUUUCAUUAAUUUGGAGUUGGAGAUCGUGUGAGCUUUUGGUGUAACUCAUAAACAUGCGGGAAUAUUAUCGUGUGGACUUUAGAUCAAAAUAAAAAUAAUACUUUUAACAGCAUACUUUUAUAUUUUAGUAAACAAAUAAUGUCGUGUUCUUCGUCUUAUGAACAUGUCAUAAAAACAGCUAUUAUGAUAUCGUUGAUAUUCAAUCCGAUCAUACAGGUAUGACAAGUUAAUGUAAAUCAACAUAACCGAGUACGAUGAUUUUAAUUGGAUUUACAUGUGUCAAAAAAUACAAUAAAAUAUUUUUAUUUAUUUUAAUGUGUAAAAUAGCCCGUAAAAACCAAAAAAACUAGGUGAACCAAUAGGUUUAUAGUAUAUUAGUGAACGUACAUAUAAAAUGUAUAAUAUUAUAUAGAGAAUGAAAAAUUGAAUUUACUAAUUUGAUAUACAUAUACUGAGCAUUUAACAUAGGAAUAAUGUUUUAGCAAUAAAAAAAAUAGGAAUAAUUAUUUGCUUUACCCAUUUACAUCAAUUUAUUUUCUAAGGUCCAUGAUUUCACGAUAAAUAGUACUCCUAUAAUUAUUUGCUUUACCCAUUUACAUCAAUUUAUUUUUUAAGGUCCAGAUUUUUCACGACAAAUAGUGCUCCUAACUUCUUCUUCUUUUUUCAAACAGUAGCUAAAACAUAUUAUUAUAUAUUACUCCUACUUAGCUAUUUAAAUAAACAAACAUUCUCUGAUAUUUGAAAAUUUUGAACGAUUCCCUUUGUACGGUAAACGGUUUUAUUUCAAAGUAUUAAUAAACCAAUGCAAAAAUAUAUUUUGCAAAAUAAUUACGCGGAUCUUCAGCAUAAGCUCUUUAUUACAUACGAGCAUGAAUUAUGUAAAAAACUUUCAUGCAAUAUUAUCAUUUAAUUUAAAUAAAUUGUUAUUGAUAACGCAAGUUUCCACAGUAUUAAUAACUUAUAAAUUAAUAGUAAAACCUAUCUAAUAAAUUCUAAACUUAUUUAAUAACGAUAGACCAUAUUCAAUUUAAAGAGUGGCAGAAAGUUGAAGUAUGACUUUUAUUAGAAGAAAACUAUCACAUUUUAAUUAAAACAUACACAGACUAUGCUACUCAGAGUAACAAAAUGUUUUUUUGGCUUAGAUAAUUAAGUUUUUCCUUAACAUAUUUCUCUGGCAUGAUCUUUGCAUAAUUAUAUGCGGACAUCACUAAUUUUAUUAUAUUAGAUUGUUCUUCAUAGAUAAUGAAAGUUACUAUCAUUUUAAUUCAGUCCAAAAAUAUUAAUUAAAAAUAACAGCAUGAUCUCUGAAUUCUAUUUAUUUAUUUUUGUUUAUAAUAUCGUUUUCAGUCUAAAAUUUUUUUAAAAAUGCUUUAUAAAAUUAAUGUAAAUUCAUAUAAAUAGUUUUUUUUCCUAACUUCCUGCCCAUAGGGCGGGCCGAUCCUAGUAUAUAUUUAUAUAUAUGGCAUUCAUAUUUUUAUGGUGCAAUCAUAUUUAUAUGGAUAUCUAGAUUUCAUUAGUUAAACAUUAGAUGAUAUCAAAUAUAUGUAGUUUAUAUAUUAUUAUUUUAAAAUAGUUGAAAAUAUAAAUGUUAUCUCAUAUUUAUUUUAAAUAUAUUUAUAAUUAUUUUCAUUUCUAAAUUAAAAUAUUAAAUGAUAUAGUGUAUAUGUAGAUGAUGCACUAUCACUAAAAGAGAAAAAAAUGUAACAAAAGAAACCUAUUAAGAAUCUUUACGCUAUUAUUAUAUUAAAUAUUGUAUUAAUAUAUUUGAGCUAAAUAAUUAAAAGAAGAGAAAUAUGAGACAAUUCAUAAAUAUUAAUAUAUCUUCUCAGUUUCUAAAAAUUGUUUUUAUUUAACUUAAUGGUAUAAAAAUAUGAUAUUUAUUUGACAUAUUUUAUAGGUGGUGUUAAAUCUUUAUAAAUAUAUCGUAAAAACUUUUAAUUUUGUAAAUGAAUCCCUUAUAUAUAUUAGAGAGAUCUUUUUUGUAAAAGUGUGAGUACUUUUGAUUAUUGUUAUUUUAUGUUUGACAUAUAUUUAGACUUUUCGUGUUUUAAGAGUUAUAUAUAUAUAUAUAUAUAUAUAUAUAUAUAUUUAGUUUAAUUUAUAUCAUUUUUAAAGAGUUAAUUUGUAUACCAAAAGCAAAUUUGAAAAAACAGAGACAAACUACAUAAACGAAUACGUUUUUGUGAUGUUUAAUUCUUUUUCGAACACGUUUUCGAAUUCUUUUUAUUUGAAGGGUUUACCUUUUCGAAUAUAAUAGUGACGUUCUUUCCAAAAUUCUCAAAUGUCUAAGUACAAUGCAGAAAUCUACAUACUCCCCAUUUAUAAAAUGAAAAGUUGAAAUUAGUGAAUGUAAUGUGAUUUGUCCAAAAUAUAAAGAAGUUUGUAAGCAGUCAACUGAUGUUAUUGGUUUUUGAUCCUGGAUAGUUAGUUGGGCAUAGAAAUACACCUUUUUAUUUAUAAUCCGAAAAACCCAUAAGAAUCUUGCGGAAGAGAUGGUAGAUUUCUUUAUGAAAGCUGGCAACAUAGAGACGGUAGAUUUGAAACCCUAGAUUUUACUUAAUCAUUGGAGCUUUCUUUAAAUCGACGUCAAAUGAAUCGAUAAGAAGAAUUGAGAAGGCAUAAGGUACCUGUUGACUUCGCAGCAGGAGCCAGGAAGAAGCAAUGCUCACAUCACAUGGGGAACUAUGUGAGGAGAACAUUUUACCUUAUUAUAUUAGAUGGUUAAGUAAUGUGGUUAUUUCAUCUUUAAAUAUUUUUAGAUUAAUGCUUGUGACAACAUUUUUUUGGUUCUUGUGAGAAAUGUGUUUUUUCAUUUUUUGACAUUCAAUAUUUUAUGAAAGUAGCUGUUUUUAACCACAAAAAUGUGCUUUGAACAAAAAAAAAAAAAAAACCACAAAAAUGUGGAUCUGUUACUUUUUCUCAUAUUUUUUUUGCUAUUGUUGCUCAAGUGUAAUGUUAUGUCAAUGUCAACCUUGUAUUAAUUUUCUGCUGUGAUAACGACAAAGGUCCCAUAACAGCCUAUGUAUCCAGUAAAACCUUUAAUUACAUCCAAAACCACAUAACUAACCGAGACAGGAAUCAUUAACUUAUUUUACAGUAAAGCUUAGGAGAGUCAAAUCAAGACAUAAAUUGAAGAGUCGACGAAUGUCCAAAACAUCAAAAUCCAAAACGACUACGAAAGCAGCUGAAAAAAAAAAUAACAGGCUAAAGACAGCCUAAAGUGUUUGAGUUUGUGUAUCAGAGUAUAAAUUUUGGAAGCAAAAUCUACGGUGAAAGUUUAACACCUCGUUUCUCAACCUCCAUCCCGCUCUUUGGAACUCAACCCCAUCCCGCUCUGUGGAACUCAACCCCAUCUUGUUUAUUUUCUUUGGUCCUUCCUUCUUAUCUUCUAAGUCUCGCUAUAUUUUCUUUCAUAAUUCUAUUUAUUAUCAUCUUUUUCCUCCUCCAUACUUUCUUCUGCAACUUCACCCUCCAAAGUCCAAAUCACUGGUUCUUUUCAAAUACUCAACUCAGUUGUGUAUUUUGCAUCACAACUGAUCCAAGCAUCUCUUAAGCAGAACUCAUAAGCAAGUCAAAUUAUAAGUAUUUUCUGCAGGUUUAAAGCGUUUCCUCAUAACUAAUCUUGACAGGCUUCCAACCUUCUCUAACUUCCUUGUUCUUUGCCUGACGCUUGCUCCUAGACUUUCUAUUGUCCAAAAAAUAGCACUCGAAGAAGUGUUUAUAGCUUCGGAUUCAUCCAUGAAACUAACCUUCUGAAAGUAACAGAUAUUGUUUGAAUUUCCUAGAAGAACCCAUAAGCCUUCUUCUCUGUUCGUAAGGCGUGUGAGGAAUAAUAGCACAUAAGAAUCCAUUGGAAAGUUUAAGAGUGAUCCAAGCUUGAACUACGGCCUUCUGUUUUGCAAGUGACUCUUACUUUUA